UACCAAAUAGUUGUUGAGGAGGAGCGCCCUCGCAGAACCAAGAAAACAACAGAAAUCCUGAAAUGCUAUCCUGUACCAAUUCACUUCCAGAAUGCUUCAAUUCUGAACUCCCAGUAUUAUUUUGCAGCUGAGUUUCCAGCCAACAGCAUUCAGAUUGCUCAGCCUUUUACUAUUGGUGACAACAAAACCUACAGUGGCUUUUGGAAUACUCCUCUUCUUCCUCAUAAAAGUUACAGCAUUUAUUUUCAAGCCGCCAGCAGAGCUAAUGGGGAAACAAAAAUUGACUGCGUCAGAGUAGCUACAAAAGCUGCGAUAAUCGUGACUCAGCUUACAACACCAUACAUUCGCAUCGCCCCUGCUGCAGGUGA
Molecule: non-coding RNA, 368 nt
Organism: Python bivittatus (Burmese python)
Lineage: Eukaryota; Metazoa; Chordata; Lepidosauria; Squamata; Pythonidae
Source: RefSeq, a predicted model, not a curated record